Molecule: ribosomal RNA, 464 nt
Filed under: Meyerozyma guilliermondii
Lineage: Eukaryota; Fungi; Ascomycota; Pichiomycetes; Serinales; Debaryomycetaceae
Description: eukaryotic LSU rRNA
Rfam family: Eukaryotic large subunit ribosomal RNA
Source: RNAcentral
UGCCUUAGUAGCGGCGAGUGAGCGGCAAAAGCUCAAAUUUGAAAUCUGGCGCCUUCGGUGUCCGAGUUGUAAUUUGAAGAUUGUAACCUUGGGGUUGGCUCUUGUCUAUGUUUCUUGGAACAGGACGUCACAGAGGGUGAGAAUCCCGUGCGAUGAGAUGCCCAAUUCUAUGUAAGGUGCUUUCGAAGAGUCGAGUUGUUUGGGAAUGCAGCUCUAAGUGGGUGGUAAAUUCCAUCUAAAGCUAAAUAUUGGCGAGAGACCGAUAGCGAACAAGUACAGUGAUGGAAAGAUGAAAAGAACUUUGAAAAGAGAGUGAAAAAGUACGUGAAAUUGUUGAAAGGGAAGGGUUUGAGAUCAGACUCGAUAUUUUGUGAGCCUUGCCUUCGUGGCGGGGUGACCCGCAGCUUAUCGGGCCAGCAUCGGUUUGGGCGGUAGGAUAAUGGCGUAGGAAUGUGACUUUACUU